UGCGCAGGCGGGUUUGUAAGUCAGUGGUGAAAUCCUGCCGCUUAACGGUAGAAUUGCCAUUGAUACUGCGAAUCUUGAGUAUGGUUGAGGUAGGCGGAAUGUGUAGUGUAGCGGUGAAAUGCAUAGAUAUUACACAGAACUCCGAUUGCGAAGGCAGCUUACUAAGCCAUAACUGAGGCUGAGGCACGAAAGCGUGGGGAGCGAACAGGAUUAGAUACCCUGGUAGUCC
Molecule: ribosomal RNA, 229 nt
Filed under: uncultured bacterium
Lineage: Bacteria
Description: partial 16S ribosomal RNA
Rfam family: Bacterial small subunit ribosomal RNA
Source: RNAcentral